AAGAUCUCAGGGCUUCCGUCCAGUUUGGAUCUUCAGAGCUUGAUGCGCCCGAAGGAGCCAUCAUCAUCUUACCGAAAUAGGUUUCGGCACUCAUGACGGCCCCGACAAUUAAAAGAAAGGACAAGGUCAGACUCCCGGGGAACCCCUUCAUUAAGAAGGAAGUGAAGGUGUGCCCCCCCAGAGAGCCCCCAUUUAGUCGCUAAAGGCAGGCAUCUAUCCUUCCAUUUGAUAAAAAGGCAUCCGAGCCGAAGUAAUUCAAUUCACUCGAAAGGAGAAGAGCGUCAAGCAGCCCCAACUCUAGCUCCAGAGGGGUCCGUAGAGCAGGAGAAUGCUCAGGUCCGUCUACGUGUGAUUCCUCAUUUGGUUCCUAAAACGUGAGGUGAGCUGCUGAUUCUACUCUUGGAGUGACUCAACAUAAUGCUUCCAGAAAAGGCUUUUAACCGGAAAUAAGAUAAAAGAAUAAAAAAAAAGACCAUAGUAGAUCUAUGAUUAGCCCUCGGUCGGGAUGGUCCUGUCGAAGAACUUGAUUCAUGCAAAGAAAGAAACUUAGGAUAGGAGACUUAUGGAAGCAGCAGGGCUGGGUCUGCGAGUGAAACCCCAAAACCUCAAAUCCACUAAUGCCUAUCAAAUAAGAGUCCUACCGAGGAUCCGGUGUCUAAGGUGUCUAGGAUUUCUCCCAAAAGUA
RNAcentral lists this long non-coding RNA (685 nucleotides) under Nicotiana benthamiana. Its description in RNAcentral is "long non-coding RNA (NBEN_LNC004980)". The record is from RNAcentral. Lineage: Eukaryota; Viridiplantae; Streptophyta; Magnoliopsida; Solanales; Solanaceae.